Molecule: ribosomal RNA, 376 nt
Filed under: uncultured bacterium
Lineage: Bacteria
Description: bacterial SSU rRNA
Rfam family: Bacterial small subunit ribosomal RNA
Source: RNAcentral
AACGUAGGAGGCAAGCGUUAUCCGGAUUUACUGGGCGUAAAGCGCAUGCAGGUGGUCUCGCAAGUUGGAUGUGAAAGCUCCUGGCUUAACUGGGAGAGGUCGUUCAAAACUGCGGGACUAGAGAGUGGUAGAGGGAGGUGGAAUUCCGGGUGUAGUGGUGAAAUGCGUAGAUAUCCGGAGGAACACCAGUGGCGAAAGCGGCCUCCUGGACCACUUCUGACACUCAGAUGCGAAAGCUAAGGUAGCAAACGGGAUUAGAGACCCCGGUAGUCUUAGCUGUAAACUAUGUGAACUUGGCGUCGGUGGGUUUAAAUCCAUCGGUGCCGAAGCAAACGCGAUAAGUUCACCGCCUGGGGACUACGGCCGCAAGGUUAAA